RNAcentral lists this ribosomal RNA (362 nucleotides) under uncultured bacterium. RNAcentral's name for it is "bacterial SSU rRNA". It matches the Rfam family "Bacterial small subunit ribosomal RNA", at positions 32 to 371 of the family's 1533-position model. The record is from RNAcentral.
AAUCAACGCUGGCGGCGUGCCUCAGACAUGCAAGUCGAACGCGAAAGUUCCCUUCGGGGAGCAAGUAGAGUGGCGCACGGGUGAGUAACACGUAGGUAAUUUGCCUUCGGGUGGGGAAUAACAGUCGGAAACGACUGCUAAUACCGCAUAAUGCAGCGGCUCGACAUCGAGACAGUUGUUAAAGCGGGGGAUCCUUCGGGACCUCGCGCCUGAAGAGAAGCCUGCGGCAGAUUAGCUAGUUGGUGAGGUAAUGGCCCACCAAGGCUACGAUCUGUAACCGGCCUGAGAGGGCGGUCGGUCACACUGACACUGACAUACGGGUCAGACUCCUACGGGAGGCAGCAGUCGGGAAUUUUGGGCAA